UGAGGGAAUAUUUGGGGUCAAUGGGCGGAAGCCUGAACCAGCCAUGCCGCGUGCGGGAAGGAGGCCCUAUGGGCUGUGAACCGCUUUUGCCUGGGGGCAAUAAGGGCGUCGCGCACGUCCGAUGAGAGUACCAGGGGAAUAAGCAUCGGCUAACUCCGUGCCAGCAGCCGCGGUAAUACGGGGGGAUGCGAGCGUUAUCCGGAUUCAUUGGGUUUAAAGGGUGCGUAGGCUGUGCGUCAAGUCAGGGGUGAAAUUCCGGGGCUCAACUCCGGGGCUGCCCUUGAUACUGUCGCGCUGGAGUGCGGAUGCCGCCGGAGGAAUGAGUGGUGUAGCGGUGAAAUGCUUAGAUAUCACUCAGAACACCGAUUGCGAAGGCAUCUGGCGAAUCCGUAACUGAC
This 398-nucleotide ribosomal RNA is filed under the name uncultured bacterium. RNAcentral describes it as "bacterial SSU rRNA". It matches the Rfam family "Bacterial small subunit ribosomal RNA", at positions 354 to 744 of the family's 1533-position model. The record is from RNAcentral.